GUCUGGCUGGCUUAGUCAGAAGAGCACGCGACCCUUGAUCUUGAGGUCAUGGGUUCAAGCCCCAUGCUGGAUG
This 73-nucleotide transfer RNA is filed under the name Ailuropoda melanoleuca (giant panda). It matches the Rfam family "tRNA". Rfam says of the family: Transfer RNA (tRNA) molecules are approximately 80 nucleotides in length. Their secondary structure includes four short double-helical elements and three loops (D, anti-codon, and T loops). Further hydrogen bonds mediate the characteristic L-shaped molecular structure. tRNAs have two regions of fundamental functional importance: the anti-codon, which is responsible for specific mRNA codon recognition, and the 3' end, to which the tRNAs corresponding amino acid is attached (by aminoacyl-tRNA synthetases). tRNAs cope with the degeneracy of the genetic code in two manners: having more than one tRNA (with a specific anti-codon) for a particular amino acid; and 'wobble' base-pairing, i.e. permitting non-standard base-pairing at the 3rd anti-codon position. Lineage: Eukaryota; Metazoa; Chordata; Mammalia; Carnivora; Ursidae. The record is from Rfam by way of RNAcentral.